CCCUUUCAGGUGGACAGGACAAAUGCUAGGAGGGAUAGGGGGAAAUGAAAUGAGGUAGAUGAAGGAAGGGCAGCCCCCUCUAUUUGAAGAGAACGCAAAAGGCCAUCCAGCCUUAAAGCCCUGAGAUUAGAGGCAAUAUUUACUAAAGGCCGGUAGAUGCUCCUUUAACUUGAUGGCCGGGACGUGCUUCAAAGUCCCGAGUCUUGAAGUCCACAGGUUCCCCCACUCUCCCGCUCCUCACUUCACAGUUGGUUACCUCGCAGAUCGGGUGCCUUAUGUUCAGAAACCAUGUGAGUCACCGUGCUGAGACAUAAUACUACAGGUUCCCAAUGAAUACGGACAGAGGCCUGAAUGCGGAUCCACUGAUAUUAACCUCCACUUGGCAAACAUCAGGUGAGUCACUAGAACCAUUUUAUAUCUUUACUGUGGAAAGCCUUCAGCCCAGAAGGCUCAUUUGGAAGCUUUCUCUUCCCAGAGAAAGAAUCUCCUGCCAGACGCUCAGGAGCAGCAAUAAUAGGUAGUGGGUAUCUCAUUUCCAACUUCUUGCUUAUUGACCUGAUUUCUCACAACGAACAGGGGAGGAGGCUUCUACACAGGUUGGUAAAAGGUAAAAAACACCGAUAAAACAAACUGACAUUGGACAAAGCUUUUUAUUAUUAUGGAGAGAAUCUCUCAGUCUUUGCAGAGGGAUCAAACAUUUUCUGCCCUGUCCGGCUUUUCGAGCCUAUGUCAACACCACGGACUUUUCUUGGGUUUCUUUAUCCUAUCCCUUGUGAGUUCGUUCCCACAUAGCUACUAGAACUUUUAUCACCUCAUAGCAGAAAACAAAAACCAAAAAGUCAAAACCAAAAAAAAAUCUACAUCACCAACCAACAACUAACAACCCUUCCCCCUUCCAAACCCAAACAACUGUUCGAACAGUGGGAUUUUGAAGGAGAAAUAAAGCUUCUUGGGAUUUUGAAAAAGGCUUGCACAUUAUACCACACAAACUGUAAUACACAUAUGAGUCUUAAUUUCAGCUUGAUGUGUUUAUCGUUCAGCAUGGACACAGCUGCUUCCACAGUAACUUGUUCUCGAGUGAUCUGUGGAAAUGUCACCCUCACAAACAGGAUUUUAAAGUUUCUUAUAGAGACAUAGGAUUCAAAUGACGAGAUGUAGCAUCUCUCUGCCUCUACAAAUAUGUUUUAACUUGUUCUUUAAAUGCAUUUUCUAUUACCCCUUUCUUUGUUCUUCUCCCUCUCUCUUUUAUUUUAUUUUAUUUUAUUUUUUUUUUAUUUUUUUUUUUUUUAAACUCUGGCAACAGAAUUGAGUCAAAUCUUUGAAACAGACAAAACUCUGGAAUCAGCAGAGAGGAACAACAUAUGAAAAUAUGUCUUGAAGGAAAUAAAAUAUGUAAAAGCAC
Long non-coding RNA from Parus major (Great Tit), 1402 nucleotides. RefSeq lists it as uncharacterized. The record is from RefSeq and is a predicted model, not a curated record. The transcript has 2 exons. NCBI's taxonomy places the organism in Eukaryota, Metazoa, Chordata, Aves, Passeriformes, Paridae.